RNAcentral lists this ribosomal RNA (303 nucleotides) under uncultured bacterium. RNAcentral describes it as "partial 16S ribosomal RNA". It matches the Rfam family "Bacterial small subunit ribosomal RNA", at positions 507 to 809 of the family's 1533-position model. The record is from RNAcentral.
AGCAGUCGCCACGGGAAUACGUAGGGUGCGAGCGUUAAUCGGAAUUACUGGGCGCAAAGCGUGCGCAGGCGGUUAUAUAAGACAGAUGUGAAAUCCCCGGGCUCAACCUGGGACCUGCAUUUGUGACUGUAUAGCUAGAGUACGGUAGAAGGGGAUGGAAUUCCGCGUGUAGCAGUGAAAUGCGUAGAUAUGCGGAGGAACACCGAUGGCGAAGGCAAUCCCCUGGACCUGUACUGACGCUCAUGCACGAAAGCUAGGGGAGCAAAUGGGAUUAGAUACCCCUGUAGUCCCUGUCUCUUAUAA